CCUACGGAGUGCAGCAGUGAGGAAUAUUGGUCAAUGGGCGCGAGCCUGAACCAGCCAAGUAGCGUGAAGGAUGACUGCCCUACGGGUUGUAACCUUCUUUUGUAGAGGAGUAAAGUGAGGCACGUGUGCCUUUUUGUAUGUACUUUAUGAAUAAAGAUCGGCUAACUCCGUGCCAGCAGCCGCGGUAAGACGGCGGAGACGAUCGUUGUCCGGAUUUAUUGGGUUUAAAGGGAGCGUAGAUGGGUUGUUAAGUCAGUUGUGAAAGUUUGCGGCUCAACCGGAAAAUUGCAAUUGAUACUGGCAGUCUGGAGUACAGUUGAGGUAGGCGGAAUUCGUGGUGUAGCGGUGAAAUGCUUAGAUAUCACGAAGAACUCCGAUUGCGAAGGCAGCUUACUAAACUGCAACUGACAUUGAGGCGCGAAAGUGUGGGUAUCAAACAGGAUUAGAUACCCCAGUAGUC
Molecule: ribosomal RNA, 460 nt
Filed under: uncultured bacterium
Lineage: Bacteria
Description: partial 16S ribosomal RNA
Rfam family: Bacterial small subunit ribosomal RNA
Source: RNAcentral